GAGACCUACGGGGGGCAGCAGUGAGGAAUAUUGGUCAAUGGCCGGAAGGCUGAACCAGCCAAGCCGCGUGAAGGACGAAGGUGACAAGCAUUGUAAACUUCUUUUGUCAAGGGACAAAAUCAGGCUCGAGAGCCUGACCGAGGGUACUUGAAGAAAAAGCAUCGGCUAACUCCGUGCCAGCAGCCGCGGUAAUACGGAGGAUGCGAGCGUUAUCAGGAUUUAUUGGGUUUAAAGGGUGCGUAGGCGGAGUGUUAAGUCAGCGGUAAAAUCCCGGGGCUCAACAC
This 284-nucleotide ribosomal RNA is filed under the name uncultured bacterium. RNAcentral's name for it is "partial 16S ribosomal RNA". It matches the Rfam family "Bacterial small subunit ribosomal RNA", at positions 334 to 615 of the family's 1533-position model. The record is from RNAcentral.